This 600-nucleotide long non-coding RNA is filed under the name Gallus gallus (chicken). The record is from RNAcentral. Lineage: Eukaryota; Metazoa; Chordata; Aves; Galliformes; Phasianidae.
AAAAAAAGAUUGGCUCUAUUUUGAAUGAUUUCUUUAAAGCAUUAAUUUUCUCCUUGGCAGUAACUUAAUCUAUCAAUUCUCAGAAAAUGUUAUGAAAUAAUCCCCUGCUAAUGUAUCUGAAAAGCUUUUCUAAAUUUAUUUCUGACAAAAAGAAUUUUCCUCAUAAUUUGGUUUGGGAGUCCCAAGCUGAAGUCUGCAAAAUAUUUAAUUUCCUUCUCAUUUGCUCAUCCUCUUCCUUUUUUGUGGAAGUAUGAGUACAAAUGCAUUUCAGAAUUGUCUUUAUAUGACAAUGAAACACUUAAUUUAAAGGAGCAUUAAUGGAUGUUGUCUCUUAUCUUAAACACCUUUCCUUCCUGUAACGUGCACGCACAAAAGCAUGAAUAGAAUCAGCUCAGAAGGAAGAGAGUUGCAUGUCAUUACCAGGUAGAUUCAUUGGGAGACAUAUGAGAGAUUUAUUUUGAUGCGGAUGCCCUUCGCUUGUAUUCGCCAGCAGGCACAUCCAGUCCGCUUGGCACCCAGAUGUAGUCCACAUCUUACCACCAUUUAUGACAUAUUCAUCACCUUUUCUCACAGCUGUUGUCUUGAUACUUGCAACAUCUG